GACGAACGCUGGCGGCGUGCUUAACACAUGCAAGUCGAACGGAAAGGCCCCUUUGGGGGUACUCGAGUGGCGAACGGGUGCGUAACACGUGAGUAACCUGCCCUUGACUUCGGGAUAACUUCAGGAAACUGGGGCUAAUACCGGCUAGGAAUCCUUGCUGCCCGGUGGGGGUUGGCAAGCUUCGGCGGUUUUGGAUGGACUCGCGGCUUAUCAGCUUGUUGGUGGGGUAGUGGCUUACCAAGGCUUUGACGGGUAGCCGGCCUGAGAGGGCGACCGGCCACGUUGGGACUGAGAGACGGCCCAGACUCCUACGGUAGGCAGCAGUGGGGAGUAGUGCACAAAGGGCAGAAGCCUGAGGCAGCAACGCCGCGUGCGGGAUGACGGCCGUCGGGUUGUAAACCGCGUUCAGCAGGGGCGAAGCUUGUGGUGACGGUACCGGCAGAAGAAGCACCGGCUAACUACGUG
Molecule: ribosomal RNA, 465 nt
Filed under: uncultured bacterium
Lineage: Bacteria
Description: partial 16S ribosomal RNA
Rfam family: Bacterial small subunit ribosomal RNA
Source: RNAcentral